AGCAACAGCCUUGUCAACCAUUCCUGCUGCUGGGUCCAUCAACUCCACAAGAUGCCUCACAGCUCCAGCUUGUACAAUUCUAGCUUUGUUCUCAUGGAAUAUUGACAAAUUAAACAGAGCUGUAGCUGCAUCCUUCUUUCCCCUUGGGGUUCCAUUGCCUAAUAAUUCAACCAGGGGCCCUAUUGCUCCGGACCUUCCAAUUUUGACCUUGUUCUCUUCAAUCACUGAGAGGCUAAAAAGAGUUGCUGCUGAGUUCUCCUUCGCUUCUGGGCUCCCAGUUUUAAGAACAUGAAUCAAAGGUUCAAUGGCAUUAGCCUGAGCUAUGGCACUUUUGUUAUUAUCAUUGAUGGAUAAGUUUAGAAGUGCUGUCACAGCAUUCUCCUGGAUCUUCGAGUCAGCAGAGAGGAGCAAAUCAACCAAAUAUUCAAUCGCCCCACAUUGAGCAAUCACUAUCCGGUUAUCCAUAUUAUGUUUAGCCAGCAACCGCAAUUCAGCUGUGGCACCUCUUAAAGUGUCAAGUGAACUGCUCUUUAAU
Molecule: unclassified non-coding RNA, 535 nt
Filed under: Hevea brasiliensis (rubber tree)
Lineage: Eukaryota; Viridiplantae; Streptophyta; Magnoliopsida; Malpighiales; Euphorbiaceae
Source: RNAcentral